GCCAUGCAAGUAUUAGUACAUGCUGUUUACACGGUGAGACCGCGAAUGGCUCAUCUAAAUCAGUUAUGGUUUUCUAGAUUAUGCCCAGUUACUCGGAUAACUGUGGCAAUUCUAGAGCUAAUACGUGCAUGACUACCCUUGGAUGUCCCGUACAACCUUGAGUAAGCAUUUUUUAGACCUAAGCCAGCAUCUGAGCUCCCUUGUGGUUCGCAGGUGUGACAGUUAUAAGUGACGAUACUGAAAAACUUUUGCCAAUCGCUAAGCACUCGUUGCGGCGAUAAGUCUUUCGAGUGUCUGCCUUAUCAACUGUCGAUGGCAGGUUAUGUGCCUACCAUGGUUGCCACGGGUGACGGAGAAUCAGGGUUCGAUUCCGGAGAGGGAGCCUGAGAAACGGCUACCACAUCCAAGGAAGGCAGCAGGCGCGUAACUUACCCAAUCCCGGCACGGGGAGGUAGUGACGAAAAAUAACGAUACGGAACUCUUUUGAGGCUCCGCAAUCGGAAUGAGUACAAUUUAAGGCCUUUAACGAGGAGCUAUUGAAGUGCAAGUCCGGUGCCAGCAGACGCGGUAACUCCGGCUUCAAAAGCGUAUAUUAAAGUUGUUGCGGUUAAAAAGCUCGUAGUUGAAACCUGGUGCUCUGAGGGACGGCCAUCUAUGUGUGGCGUAUCCUUUCUGAGUACAACCUGGGUGAUUCCGUCCGUCGUCUUCUUUAUUGAGGGCUUCGGGUGGACACCAAAUAUCACUCUGAUAAAAUUAGGGUGCUCAAAGCUGGCCUUGUGCCGGUAUAUCAAUGCAUGGAAUGAUGGAAAAGGUUGUUGUUUCGUUUGUGGCUUUGAAUCUGACUAAAAUGACCAAGAGGAACAGACGGGGGCAUUUGUAUUGCGGCGCUAGGACGGUGAAAUUUCUGGACCGUCGCNNNNNNNNNNNNNNNNNNNNNNNNNNNNNNNNNNNNNNNNNNUGAUCAAGAACGAAAGUCAGAGGUUCGAAGGCGAUUAGAUACCGCCCUAGUUUUGACCAUAAACGAUGCCAACCAGCAAUCCGUUUGAGUUGUCUCUUGGACUCGACGGGCAGUCCCCGAGAAAUCAAAGUUAAGGUUCCGGGGAAGUAUGGUUGCAAAGCUGAAACUUAAAGGAAUUGACGGAAGGGCACCACCAGUUGUGGGACUUGCGGCUUAAUUUGACUCAACGCGGGAAAGCCUAACCGGCCCAGACACUGAGAGGAUUGACAGAUUGAGAGCUCUUUCUUGAUUCGGUGAUUAGUGGUGCAUGGUCGUUUCUAGUUCGUGGAAUGAUUUGUCUGCUUAACUGCGAUAACGAACGAGACACUAUCCUAUUAAAUAGACGCAAUGUUCGUGGCGCAUUGCGGUCACUUCUUAAUGGGACAGGUUGCAUUGAGCAACACGAAACAGUGCGGCAAYAGGUCUGGAAUGCCCUUAGAUGUCCGGUGCCGCACGCGUGUCACAAUGAAAGACACAGCGUGUAAAACCCUACCUUGAAAAAGUGGGGUAAUCCCUUGAAUGUCUCUCUUGAUUGGGAUUGGAACUUGAAAUUAUUUGCCAUGAACGAGGAAUAUCUCGUAAGCACUAGUCACCACCUAGUGCUGAUUAAGUCCCUGCCCUUUGUGCACACCGCCCGUCGCCAUUACCGAUUGAGUGAGUUAGUGAGGUCUUCUAAUCUAGUCGUUUUAGAGCUCUUUUUGAGUUUUGGAGGGAUUGGAGCAGUUGACCAAACUUGCUCAUUUAGAGGAAAUG
Molecule: ribosomal RNA, 1750 nt
Filed under: Eutrachytes sp. ARP-2015
Lineage: Eukaryota; Metazoa; Arthropoda; Arachnida; Mesostigmata; Deraiophoridae
Description: partial small subunit ribosomal RNA
Rfam family: Eukaryotic small subunit ribosomal RNA
Source: RNAcentral